AUUGAACGCUGGCGGCAGGCUUAACACAUGCAAGUCGAGCGGAGAUGAGGUGCUUGCACCUUAUCUUAGCGGCGGACGGGUGAGUAAUGCUUAGGAAUCUGCCUAUUAGUGGGGGACAACAUUCCGAAAGGAAUGCUAAUACCGCAUACGUCCUACGGGAGAAAGCAGGGGAUCUUCGGACCUUGCGCUAAUAGAUGAGCCUAAGUCGGAUUAGCUAGUUGGUGGGGUAAAGGCCUACCAAGGCGACGAUCUGUAGCGGGUCUGAGAGGAUGGUCCGCCACACUGGGACUGAGACACGGCCCAGACUCCUACGGGAGGCAGCAGUGGGGAAUAUUGGACAAUGGGGGGAACCCUGAUCCAGCCAUGCCGCGUGUGUGAAGAAGGCCUUAUGGUUGUAAGGCACUUUAAGCGAGGAGGAGGCUACUGAGACUAAUACUCUUGGAUAGUGGACGUUACUCGCAGAAUAAGCACCGGCUAACUCUGUGCCAGCCGCCGCUGUAA
This 501-nucleotide ribosomal RNA is filed under the name uncultured bacterium. RNAcentral describes it as "partial 16S ribosomal RNA". It matches the Rfam family "Bacterial small subunit ribosomal RNA", at positions 30 to 523 of the family's 1533-position model. The record is from RNAcentral.